CCGGGGCUAAUACCGGAUGGUUGUUUGAACCGCAUGGUUCAGACAUAAAAGGUGGCUUCGGCUACCACUUACAGAUGGACCCGCGGCGCAUUAGCUAGUUGGUGAGGUAACGGCUCACCAAGGCAACGAUGCGUAGCCGACCUGAGAGGGUGAUCGGCCACACUGGGACUGAGACACGGCCCAGACUCCUACGGGAGGCAGCAGUAGGGAAUCUUCCGCAAUGGACGAAAGUCUGACGGAGCAACGCCGCGUGAGUGAUGAAGGUUUUCGGAUCGUAAAGCUCUGUUGUUAGGGAAGAACAAGUGCCGUUCAAAUAGGGCGGCACCUUGACGGUACCUAACCAGAAAGCCACGGCUAACUACGUGCCAGCAGCCGCGGUAAUACGUAGGUGGCAAGCGUUGUCCGGAAUUAUUGGGCGUAAAGGGCUCGCAGGCGGUUUCUUAAGUCUGAUGUGAAAGCCCCCGGCUCAACCGGGGAGGGUCAUUGGAAACUGGGGAACUUGAGUGCAGAAGAGGAGAGUGGAAUUCCACGUGUAGCGGUGAAAUGCGUAGAGAUGUGGAGGAACACC
This 568-nucleotide ribosomal RNA is filed under the name Bacillus velezensis. Its description in RNAcentral is "bacterial SSU rRNA". It matches the Rfam family "Bacterial small subunit ribosomal RNA", at positions 157 to 710 of the family's 1533-position model. The record is from RNAcentral. Lineage: Bacteria; Bacillati; Bacillota; Bacilli; Caryophanales; Bacillaceae.